CUCCCUCUGGGUCAGACUCUGGCUCAAACUGGUAGGGUUGUACGAGUGAUCUUCUUGCAGCCAUGACCGAGCCAGUGUAAACAUUAGCACAUGGCUAUCGGAGCACAGCCACAGCCCCUUCCAGAGAGAUGGGUGUAAAGUGGACGUGGCUUAGGUGCAGCUCAUUUCAUUAAAGAGACAUGGAGCCAAAACGGAGGAUUUUGAGCGGCGCUGUUAUUAGCUGAUAAAAAGAGCACUAAAAUAAUUGAUCCAAAUCGAAUUUUGACCGAAGGACGUCACAGACAUGCUUUUAACACACCAGGGGACUAUUUUAAGUUGUGUGAAAUUGGCA
Molecule: non-coding RNA, 331 nt
Organism: Xyrichtys novacula (pearly razorfish)
Lineage: Eukaryota; Metazoa; Chordata; Actinopteri; Labriformes; Labridae
Source: the annotation of a GenBank genome assembly